UACGGGGGGAGCAAGCGUUAUCCGGAAUUACUGGGCGUAAAGGGCGCGUAGGCGGGUUCAUAAGUCAGAUUUUAAAUCCAACAGCUUAACUGUUGACCUGGAUCUGAAACUGCGAAUCUUGAGUGCAAGAGAGGAAAGCGGAAUUCCUGGUGUAGCGGUGAAAUGCGUAGAUAUCAGGAAGAACACCGGUGGCGAAGGCGGCUUUCUGGCUUGUUACUGACGCUGAUGCGCGAAAGCGUGGGGAGCGAACAGGAUUAGAUACCCUGGUAGUCCACGCCCUAAACGUUGUACACUUGGUGUCGGAGGAUCUAACCCCUUCGGUACCGUAGCUAACGCCUUAAGUGUACCGCCUGGGGACUACGGUCGCAAGGCUGAA
This 376-nucleotide ribosomal RNA is filed under the name uncultured bacterium. RNAcentral describes it as "bacterial SSU rRNA". It matches the Rfam family "Bacterial small subunit ribosomal RNA", at positions 524 to 898 of the family's 1533-position model. The record is from RNAcentral.